This 492-nucleotide ribosomal RNA is filed under the name uncultured bacterium. RNAcentral's name for it is "partial 16S ribosomal RNA". It matches the Rfam family "Bacterial small subunit ribosomal RNA", at positions 29 to 507 of the family's 1533-position model. The record is from RNAcentral.
AGUGAACGCUGGCGGUAGGCCUAACACAUGCAAGUCGAACGGCAGCACAGUAAGAGCUUGCUCUUACGGGUGGCGAGUGGCGGACGGGUGAGGAAUACAUCGGAAUCUACUUUUUCGUGGGGGAUAACGUAGGGAAACUUACGCUAAUACCGCAUACGACCUACGGGUGAAAGCAGGGGAUCUUCGGACCUUGCGCGAUUGAAUGAGCCGAUGUCGGAUUAGCUAGUUGGCGGGGUAAAGGCCCACCAAGGCGACGAUCCGUAGCUGGUCUGAGAGGAUGAUCAGCCACACUGGAAGUGAGACACGGUCAAGACUCCUACGGGAGGCAGCAGUGGGGAACAUUGGACAAUGGGCGCAAGCCUGAUCCAGCGAUACCGCGUGGGUGAAGAAGGCCCUCGGGUUGUAAAGCCCUUUUGUUGGGAAAGAAAAGCAGCAGGUUAAUACCCCGCUGUUCUGACGGUACCCAAAGAAUAAGCACCGGCUAACUUCGUG